CCUACGGGAGGCUGCAGUGAGGAAUAUUGGUCAAUGGACGAGAGUCUGAACCAGCCAAGUAGCGUGAAGGAUGACUGCCCUAUGGGUUGUAAACUUCUUUUAUAUGGGAAUAAAAUGUUCCACGUGUGGGAUUUUGUAUGUACCAUAUGAAUAAGGAUCGGCUAACUCCGUGCCAGCAGCCGCGGUAAUACGGAGGAUCCGAGCGUUAUCCGGAUUUAUUGGGUGUAAAUGGAGAGUAGGUGGAUUGUUAAGUCAGUUGUGAAAGUUUGCGGCUCAACCGUAAAAUUGCAGUUGAAACUGGCAGUCUUGAGUACAGUAGAGGUGGGCGGAAUUCGUGGUGUAGCGGUGAAAUGCUUAGAUAUCACGAAGAACUCCGAUUGCGAAGGCAGUUCACUGGACUGCAACUGACACUGAGGCUCGAAAGUGUGGGUAUCAAACAGGAUUAGAUACCCUUGUAGUC
This 460-nucleotide ribosomal RNA is filed under the name uncultured bacterium. Its description in RNAcentral is "partial 16S ribosomal RNA". It matches the Rfam family "Bacterial small subunit ribosomal RNA", at positions 338 to 795 of the family's 1533-position model. The record is from RNAcentral.